RNAcentral lists this long non-coding RNA (437 nucleotides) under Homo sapiens (human). Its description in RNAcentral is "HSALNT0367347". Lineage: Eukaryota; Metazoa; Chordata; Mammalia; Primates; Hominidae. The record is from RNAcentral.
AUGCUCCUGCUCCUGCCUCAACUUUCCAAAGUGCUGGGAUUAUAAGUGCACGCCAUCAUGCCCGACCUGACUUGAUGACUUCUUAAGAUUCAGUGAAGCCUGACUCAUUGCUCCAGCUGGAGAGUUGAUUAUGACACAAUGCCUGCCUUGAAGAGUACGUCAGUGUUAUAUGUUACAAGUCAAGAGCUUCAAGACAGAAAAGCAGGAUUUGUGUUUCAACUCUAUCACUUCAUAACUGGGCAAAUGAUUGAAACUCUGAGUCUCAGUCCCUUCCACCAUAAAAUGAGGAUGAAAGUGAUAGCCUCUAUGCACAGUUUUUGAGAAGGAUUGCAGAGAAUAAUGUAUGAGAUGAAGUAAUCAAAGCUUAUAUAAAUAUAAGUUGCCAUUUUUUUGUAUAUUUUUCUUCUUUUUUUAUUAUUAUUAUACUUUAAGUUUUA